CCAGCUAGUCUGCGCCUGCAAUACACUGUUGCAAACUUCUCAGCGUGACCACUCAGAGAAAGAUCCACCUCGGUGCCCCGACUGGUCCCUCCCCUGCAGCCACAGCUGCCGGAUCCCGCCUGGCCUGCCAGAGCCUCGGUGAGCACCCCGUGGGCAUCCUCAGCAACGCCUUCCAGAAAGGAAUGCGGGGUGCAGAAUGUGACUAGCCACGAGAUCUCUGCAGCUAGGAGGGUUCCAUACACUGGUAGGAG
Molecule: long non-coding RNA, 251 nt
Organism: Dermochelys coriacea (leatherback sea turtle)
Lineage: Eukaryota; Metazoa; Chordata; Testudines; Dermochelyidae
Exons: 3
Source: RefSeq, a predicted model, not a curated record